This 542-nucleotide unclassified non-coding RNA is filed under the name Gambiomyces profundus. RNAcentral's name for it is "Pleosporales sp. NVL-2018 sequence contains ITS1, 5.8S rRNA gene, ITS2". The stretch from base 173 to 326 matches the Rfam family "5.8S ribosomal RNA". Lineage: Eukaryota; Fungi; Ascomycota; Dothideomycetes; Pleosporales. The record is from RNAcentral.
ACUGCGGAGAUCAUUAUCAACAGCGGGCGAGGCCUGGCCUCCCCGCGCACCUUCUCAUCCCCUUGUGGUGUACCCAUUCGUUUCCUCGGCAGGCUUGCCUGCCAGUAGGACACCCCCAUAAACCUUUUGCAGUGAGCAGUAUACGUCUGAUCAAAACCACAAAAUCGUUUACAACUUUCAACAAUGGAUCUCUUGGUUCUGGCAUCGAUGAAGAACGCAGCGAAAUGCGAUAAGUAGUGUGAAUUGCAGAAUUUAGCGAAUCAUCGAAUCUUUGAACGCACAUUGCGCCCCUUGGUAUUCCAUGGGGCAUGCCUGUUCGAGCGUCAUUUCAACCCUCAAGCAUUGCUUGGUGUUGGGCGUUUGUGCCCGCCGUCGCGCGGGGACUCGCCUCAAAGUCAUUGGCAGCUGUUUCCCCCCUUUCGGCUCGUAAGCGCAGCAAAGUCGGCGCCCGGAGCCUUUGGAGGACAGCGUCCACGAAGCCCAUUUUCAGUCUUGACCUCGGAUCAGGUAGGGAUACCCGCUGAACUUAAGCAUAUCAAUAA